Molecule: ribosomal RNA, 569 nt
Filed under: marine metagenome
Description: bacterial SSU rRNA
Rfam family: Archaeal small subunit ribosomal RNA
Source: RNAcentral
UGCGGUUUAAUUGGAUUCAACGCCGGAAAACUCACCAGAGCCGACGGACAAAUGAAAGCCAGUGUGAUGAGCUUGCUGGAUUGUUCGAGAGGUAGUGCAUGGCCGUCGUCAGUUCGUACCGUAAGGCGUUCUGUUAAGUCAGAUAACGAACGAGACCCUCAUCCCUAUUUGCUAAGAUUACUCCGGUAAUCACAGGACUAUAGGGAGACCGCUGGCGCGAAGUCAGAGGAAGGCGAGGGCAACGGUAGGUCAGUAUGCUCCGAAUGCUCUGGGCUACACGCGCAAUACAAAGGACGGGACAAUGGGCCGCUGUACCGAAAGGACUCGGCUAUCCCGAAACCCGUUCGUAGUUCGGAUUGAGGGCUGUAACUCGCCCUCAUGAAGCUGGAUUAGGUAGUAAUCGCGUCUCAAAAAGGCGCGGUGAAUAUGCCCCUGCUCCUUGCACACACCGCCCGUCAAACCAUCUUAGUUGGGGGUGGGUGAGGCUGCCUUUUAGUGGGGUAUUCGAGCCUGCCUUCGACAAGGAGGGUUAAGUCGUAACAAGGUAUCUGUAGGGGAACCUGCAGAUG